MicroRNA precursor from Marmota marmota marmota (Alpine marmot), 60 nucleotides. Lineage: Eukaryota; Metazoa; Chordata; Mammalia; Rodentia; Sciuridae. The record is from Ensembl.
UAGGCAGUGUAAUUAGCUGAUUGUACUGUGGUGCUUACAAUCACUAACUCCACUGCCAUC